GAUGGCGUCCUCAGUGCCGGUCACCCUCGCCCCCCGGGAGGGGUCCGGCAGGCGGAACCCUGCGGCUCGACGGCCCGCUGAUAAAGGGACCAAGAAAAUGCAAACUGCGAUACCAUGUUAAGUCGAGUGUUGCUGAUGGAGCCGGUCACAAGGAGAAUCGGGACGCACGCAGGAGAAUCGGGGCAGACGUGAGUAUGAAUUGGGACAUACUAAGGAGCAUUGGGAC
Molecule: long non-coding RNA, 226 nt
Organism: Pollicipes pollicipes
Lineage: Eukaryota; Metazoa; Arthropoda; Thecostraca; Pollicipedomorpha; Pollicipedidae
Exons: 3
Source: RefSeq, a predicted model, not a curated record